This is a long non-coding RNA of Rosa rugosa (rugosa rose), 2003 nucleotides long. RefSeq lists it as uncharacterized. Lineage: Eukaryota; Viridiplantae; Streptophyta; Magnoliopsida; Rosales; Rosaceae. The transcript is spliced from 12 exons. The record is from RefSeq and is a predicted model, not a curated record.
UACUUCUCACUCCCAGCCUCUCUCAAAUCUCGAUUUUUACUCUCUCCUUCGUCUUCUUGCUCUCUCGAUUCUUCUUCUUAGUCUCUCCCUCUCAGAUUUCUUCUUCUCCCAAAAACCUCUCAGAGCCCAGCACCACCGCGAUGACCUCGACCCAGAUGGAGGACGCCGUACGACAUCGCACUGCCAUCAACGAUUACCUGAAGAGGUUACUCCAGCAUAAGGAGCUCCAAGUCCGCGCAGUGUGAGAAAACUUGGGAGGAGCUAAGAAGGAUUUUGGGAAAACUGAAGAUUACUUGAAGUUGCUUCAAAGUGUUUGUUAGAUUAUAGGGGAAGUUCUGAGACCUCUCAAUUAUGGACAAUGUAAGUAAAGUUUGGACCUUUCUUUGUUUAGAACAUAAACAUAGUUCCUGGAAACUCUUGGUGAUUAUGAUUUUGUAAGACCAUGAUUUAAUCUCAAUUGCGUAAGAAUCUGUCUCGGUUAGGAAUUUCUGUUCCAAAGUGAAAUUGAUCAAUUGGGUGCUCAUUAAUUUUUUAUCUUGGUGGAAUUCAUGCCUCGGAAUUGUUGGAUUUAUGUGAGAAUGUAGUGAGUUGCAUGAUUAUGGUCCUCCAUUCUUCGCCGCCUAGAUUGGAGAUGCAAUGGUAAGGGCUACGUGGCGUUCCGGAAUUACAUUCGGAGGCCGACGAAUUGGGAGAAGGAUAGUCUGCGGACUCUGAGCCUCCAGACCACUCCGGGAAACAGGCUGCUUGAUGCAUCAGUGGGUGAUGGAUUCAAACUCCGAGUCCACUCUCACUUUUGUGUGAUGUCGAGAGCUGGACUCCUGGCAGGGAUGUGCAUAAUGGCAGUCAACCUUCAUCUCGUAGAAGUUUUGGCUCGAGUACUAGUGAUAAUGACCGCCUGCGUCAACGGGGUGAACAACCUACAUACUCUUUUGUAGGAAUGCAUUGCAUCUUUGAUCAGUGCAGAGCCUCGGUUACUGUUUUGAAGUUUGGGCACAUGAGCUCAGAUCUGCUUGCGUAUGGAGCAUCAGAUGGAACCUUGACAGUAUGCACUGUCUCUGAUCCUCCUUCAAUUCUCAAGCAUCUGAAUGGUCACUCCAAAGAUGUUACAGGUCUUUGUUCUAAACACCAUGUCUUGUUUAUUUUCAAACUUUGAUUUCUCGUCAAACAAUCAGUACAUUGCAUCCUCAUCGUUGGAUAAAACUGUGAGAGUAUGGGAGAUUUCAAAAGGCCUAUGCAUAAGAGUAAUAUAUGGAGUUUCUCCACAACUGUGUAUUCGUUUUCACCCUGUAAAUAACAACUUCCUUUCAGUUGGCAAUGCAGACAAAGAAAUUACGUACUGGGAGGACCAUUCAUAAAACAUCAUUUGACAGUCAAGUUACCGCUAUGGACCAUGCUCACACUGGACAGAUCAUUUUCUGUGGAGAUGGGACGGGGUUUAUAUAUUCUGUCAGUAUGAAUUCUCACACAGGAGUAUUAUCCCGCUCUCAUCGGCAUCGAAGUAGCAGCAGGCAGAAAUCUCCAGUCACAACUGUGGAGUCCCGAAGUUUUUCUCUGUUGGCUCGGGGCCCUGUGUUGCUGACAUGUACUUAAGAUGGAAGUUUGUCUUUCUUCAGUGUUGCGCUGGAAAUACAAGGUUAUUUGGCUCUUCAUUGCUCACUCAAAUUAACUCCACGAAUAUACAAUAUCCGGGCUCUUCAUGGGUUAUGGAAGCUGCAGUAGUUAUGGCACUUGUCCUUGCUAAUGGGGGAGGUGAAGGUCCUGACUGGCAAGACUUUGUUGGGAUUAUUGUCCUAUUAAUAAUCAAUUCAACCAUUAGUUUUGUAGAGGAGAAUAAUGCGGGAAAUGCUGCAUCAGCUCUUAUGGAACGUUUAUCUCCAAAGACAAGGGUAUGUCUCUUUGAUUGAUGCCUUCCGCUCACAGAGUUUGGCUAUGACAGUUUUAUGAGGUCUGCUGGUCAUGUUUUUCUAUAAAUUAAGGUAGAUCUUUUAUUUGUAGCUUGUAUC